GAUCUUUCUGAGAAUCCAUUAGACAAUGUUGAAGUCUUACAGGAUCAACUGGAUUGUUUUCCAUACCUCUGCAGAUUUCAGUAUGAAACCAGUAGUUUGUGCAUCAUAAAGAUCAUGGAGCCCAUAUUGCGAACAUACACGGAAAGAGCUCGGCUUCAAGGUAGUGAUAACAGUGAACUUUCUGUUAUUGAAGCCAAACUUGCAUGGGUUGUUCAUAUUAUAG
Molecule: unclassified non-coding RNA, 223 nt
Filed under: Hevea brasiliensis (rubber tree)
Lineage: Eukaryota; Viridiplantae; Streptophyta; Magnoliopsida; Malpighiales; Euphorbiaceae
Source: RNAcentral